UUGUAUAUUAUACAAGUGGUUUAUCUAGAGAGAAUAGCUGCAACUGAGGCAAAACACAUCCAAAAGAGGGCAAAAAGGACACUUACGUUGGGAUCUGAGGAAGAUGCCGCGGCUCUAACCUCAGUUGGACAUAAUAAAUCAAAGAAAAAGGCCUUGUCAUAUUCCAGUAGGAUGUUAGAAAACGAGAUCUUGAAUGUCCUAGACAAUCCAACAAACAAUGGGAUGCAGAAUGUACAGGUUGCUGAG
This is a long non-coding RNA of Corticium candelabrum, 246 nucleotides long. RefSeq lists it as uncharacterized. Lineage: Eukaryota; Metazoa; Porifera; Homoscleromorpha; Homosclerophorida; Plakinidae. The transcript is spliced from 3 exons. The record is from RefSeq and is a predicted model, not a curated record.